AAAAGGCCAUUGCAUUGAGGAGGAAGACUGCCGAAGAUCCUGAAUUGCAACAGUAUGCUCGUGCACACUGUAUCUCUUAGUUAUUUGUCCUUGCAACUCAUAGUCACACAUCUGCUUUUUUUUGUUUUUUUGUAGUAAGACUUUGAUACAUUUCAGCCUCCUUUGUGACUUUAGUGGCGAGGACCUCCUAGCUACCUUCGCUGAUGAUGCACAAGGCGAGUCGGGGAUCAUAG
RNAcentral lists this long non-coding RNA (233 nucleotides) under Setaria italica (foxtail millet). Its description in RNAcentral is "long non-coding RNA (SITA_LNC003207)". The record is from RNAcentral. Lineage: Eukaryota; Viridiplantae; Streptophyta; Magnoliopsida; Poales; Poaceae.